GUCUCUUCUUUUCUUGUCUCGUUGUUGUUUGUAUGGUGACUAUUAGGAAGAGGAGGAGGAUUAAAAAUGACAUGUCACUCGCUUGUAUUCACAAGACAUUAUGACACCACAC
This 112-nucleotide non-coding RNA is filed under the name Tryblionella compressa. Lineage: Eukaryota; Bacillariophyta; Bacillariophyceae; Bacillariales; Bacillariaceae. The record is from RNAcentral.